Molecule: ribosomal RNA, 2761 nt
Filed under: Durio zibethinus
Lineage: Eukaryota; Viridiplantae; Streptophyta; Magnoliopsida; Malvales; Malvaceae
Description: eukaryotic LSU rRNA
Rfam family: Eukaryotic large subunit ribosomal RNA (bases 510-2761)
Source: RNAcentral
CAUUCUUCUGUCCCUCCCAAGGCACUUGUCUACCCUUCAAGUGCCACUUACACAAAAUGAUGGUUAGUGCAUGUGUCACAGGCUCUAGUCUUAAGCGAAACUCCAUGUGGCCUUAGAUAAGGAAUUAACUUCAUAUGCUUCAGUCAGCCUAUGAAACUCCAGUGCUCAGCAUAAUUCUAGCUUGUUAAAGAUUGUGCUGUAGCACUAGGCCUUCUAAAAGCCCCUAAAUUUGAUCCUUCUAGGACUAUGCUUAAGUGUGCCCAUACUUGGGUCUAACUGUAUGCUUGCACCCCGAUCAUCAGUGCUUUUGCCUAGGUUUGACUAUGUGCCUGCACAUCACUCACCAACAUUAGUACUCGUUAUUGGGCCUGGCUUAAUUCUACCAAACCUGAACACUGUGCCUUAGCUUUUGGAGUCUUAAUAAUUGCCCAUACCACUAUUUUGUGCUAGUUCCUCAUGACCUGGGCCUUUAGUAGGCCUCCAAGCUUGGUCUUCCUAGUUGUUAGACCUUAUCCUACUAGAAUUGAAACUACUCUUUGACUCAGAGAGAAUCACUGGGCUUAGACCAACUUAUGUAUUAUGACACAUGUACAUGCCUCAACCAUCAUCGACAUUGAAUGAACCUUGAUUACAAUGCCUAAUUGCAUGCUAACCUAGAACCUUUAAAGGGUGUUGGUUGAUUAAAACAAUAGGAUGGUGGUCAUGGAAGUCAAAAUCUGCUAAGAAGUGUGUAACAACUCACUUGCCGAAUCAACUAGCCCCAAAAAUGGAUGACGCUUAAGCAUAUGACCUAUACCUAAUUGUCAGGCCAAGGGCUAGCCUUGAUGGGUAAGAGGUUGCCAUAAAACCCAAGGCAUGAGCCCAGAUGGAGUGACUAUUAGUGUAGAUCUUGGUGGUAGUAACAAAUAUUCAAAUGAGAACUUUGAAGGCUAAAGAGGCGAAAUGUUCCAUGUGAACAACACUUGCACAUGAGUUGUUGAUCCCAAGAGAUGGGGGAAGCCCAUCCGAUAGCAUGUUCAGUGUGAGCUUCAAAAUAAAAUUAGGUUAAAUUCCUAAACUAGAACGUAGAGGUUGAUAGCAACGUUAAAGAGUCUGGAGAAGUUGAUGGAAGCCUCGAGAAGAGUUAUUUUUUUUAUUUAAUGGCCUACCAAUCCUAGAAAUGGCUUAGCUAGAGGUAAGGUCCAAUUGCUCAAAAGGCAUCGCACGUCGUGUAAUGUCUAGUAAACCCUUGAUGGCUCUCAAAAUUUCAGAGGAUCAAAUGCCAUCCACGUUCGGUUAUACUUAUAACCACAUCCAAGGUGAAUAGCCUCUGGUUAAAGGAAUAAUGUAGGUAAGGGAAGUCCGUAAAAUAGAUCUGUAACCUUAAGAAAAAAGGAUUAGCUUUAAAGGCAAGCAUGAGGAUCCCAAUCUCAAACCUAUUAGUUAUCAGUGCAUUGCUUGAGUUGCUUUCACAGUGAGAACAAGCUACCACAAGCUAGCUUAGGGAUGGAUUGGUAACAACUCCCUUGAGGUCUUCCCCGAGUGAUUAAUAGUCAACCUUAAACUAGUAUGGACAAGGGGAAUCUGAUUGUUUAAUUAAAACAAAGCAUUGUGAUGGUCCUUGUUGAUGCUCACGGAAUGUGAUUUUUGCCUAAUGCUCUGAAUGUAAAAGUGAAGAAAUUCAACCAAGCAUGGGUAAAUGGCGGAAGUAACUAUGACUCUCUUAAGGUAGCCAAAUGCCUUGUCAUCUAAUUAGUGAUGCACAUUAAUGGAUUAAUGAGAUUCCCACUAUCCCUAUCUACUAUCUAGCAAAACCAUUGCCAAAAGAAUGGGCUUGGCAGAAUCAAUGGGGAAAUAAGACCCUGUUGAGCUUGACUCUAGUUUGACUUCAUGAAAUGAUGAUUGUCGAGAAAUGGUGUGAAAGUGGAAGGAAAAAUUCGAUUUCAGUGGUAAUUCGAGGACAGAGUUGUUAAAUGGACCCAACAUUUUAAUCUUUUUAAGCUUACAAUUUUUAAAUAAUCAAAUGCCUGAGAGUCAUAGGAUAAGUGAAAGGCCUUAGGCAAAAUUGAAAUACCACUACUUUUAACAUUAUUUUACUUUUUCCAUGAAUCAGAGUAGGGCAAGACCUAUUCUUUUGGACGUAAGGCCAGCCUUGAUUAGUCGAUUUGAGUAGAAGACAUCUAUUUAAAAAUAAUGCAAGUGUCUUAAGAUGAGCUUAACGAGAAUAAAAUCUUGUGAGGAACAAAAGGGUAAAAGCUCAUUUGAUUCUAAUUUUUAGUAUGAAUACAAACCAUGAAAGCAUAGCAUGUCGAUGCUUUAGACCUUUAAAAUUUGAAGCUAGAGGUGUCAAAAAAGUUACCACGGGGAUACCUGGCUUGUGGUAACUAAGCAUUCAUAGUGAUUUUACUUUUUUAUCCUUCGAUGUUGGCUCUUCGUAUCAUUAUGAACCAAAAUUUGCUAAGUGUUGGAUUGUUCAUGCACUAUUAGGGAAUGUCAGCUGGACCAUUGUGAGACAUGUUAGUUUUACCCUACUGAUGGUAGCAUCAUAAUAGUAAUUCAACCUAGUAUGGAAAGAAUCAUAGAUUCUCACAAUUGGUCAUCGCACUUGGUUAAAAAGCCAAUGGCACCAUGUUGUGGAUUAUGACUGAACACCUCUAAGUCAAAAUCUAGGCUAGAAGUGAUGCAUUCACCUAUCAUUUAAUUGUUGACCUAUAGUAGGGGCCCAUAGACCUUAAGGGCAUGUGUCGUACAUGCAACCCCUUAUGGUAGACAAGCCACGUAU